This 382-nucleotide ribosomal RNA is filed under the name uncultured eukaryote. RNAcentral describes it as "SSU rRNA". It matches the Rfam family "Eukaryotic small subunit ribosomal RNA", at positions 587 to 972 of the family's 1831-position model. The record is from RNAcentral.
AGCUCCAAUAGCGUAUAUUAAAGUUGUUGCGGUUAAAACGCUCGUAGUUGGAUCUGCGGCCUCGAAGAACGGUCCCCCGAAAGGGUGGUCACUGUCUCUUCUAGCCUAAAUUCGAGUUGUCUUUAGGUGCUCUUUAUUGAGUGCUUAGAGCGACUAGAACGUUUACUUUGAAAAAAUUAGAGUGCUUAAAGCAGGCGAAAUAGUCUGUAUAAGGUGCAUGGAAUAAUGGAAUAGGAUCUCGGUUCUAUUUUGUUGGUUUUCGGAGCCCGAGAUAAUGAUUAAGAGGAACAGACGGGGGCAUUCGUAUUUCGGCGCUAGAGGUGAAAUUCUUGGACCGCCGAAAGACGAACGACUGCGAAAGCAUUUGCCAAGAAUGUUUUCA